UACAGAGGGUGCAAGCGUUAAUCGGAAUUACUGGGCGUAAAGCGUGCGUAGACGGUAGCGUAAGUCGGGUGUGAAAGCCCUGGGCUCAACCUGGGAAUUGCAGUGGAUACUGGCAAGCUAGAGUGCGGUAGAGGAUGGUGGAAUUCCCGGUGUAGCGGUGAAAUGCGUAGAGAUCGGGAGGAACACCUGUGGCGAAGGCGGCCCCCUGGGCCGGCCCUGACACUGAGACGCGAAGGCGUGGGGAGCGAACGGG
RNAcentral lists this ribosomal RNA (253 nucleotides) under uncultured bacterium. RNAcentral describes it as "partial 16S ribosomal RNA". It matches the Rfam family "Bacterial small subunit ribosomal RNA", at positions 524 to 776 of the family's 1533-position model. The record is from RNAcentral.